GGGGGGGGGGGGGGGGGGGGGGGGGGGGGGGGGGGGGGGGGGGGGGGGGGGGGGGGGGCGGGGGCGGGGGCGGCGGGCGGGGGGGGAACACGGGGAGGGCCUACCUAUAGGACUGGGGUAACUGCGGGAAACCGGAGCUAAUACCGGAGAAUAUAUUGAACCGCAUGGUUCAAUAGUGAAAGACGGUUUGGCUGUCACUUAUAGAUGGAUCCGCGCCGCAUUAGCUAGUUGGUAAGGUAACGGCUUACCAAGGCAACGAUGCGUAGCCGACCUGAGAGGGUGAUCGGCCACACUGGAACUGAGACACGGUCCAGACUCCUACGGGAGGCAGCAGUAGGGAAUCUUCCGCAAUGGGCGAAAGCCUGACGGAGCAACGCCGCGUGAGUGAUGAAGGUCUUCGGAUCGUAAAACUCUGUUAUUAGGGAAGAACAAAUGUGUAAGUAACUAUGCACGUCUUGACGGUACCUAAUCAGAAAGCCACGGCUAACUACGUG
This 494-nucleotide ribosomal RNA is filed under the name uncultured bacterium. RNAcentral describes it as "partial 16S ribosomal RNA". The stretch from base 55 to 494 matches the Rfam family "Bacterial small subunit ribosomal RNA", at positions 39 to 507 of the family's 1533-position model. The record is from RNAcentral.